GACGAACGCUGGCGGCGUGCUUAGCAUAUGCAAGUCGAGCGGUAAGGCCCUUUCGGGGGUACACGAGCGGCGAACGGGUGAGUAACACGUGGGUGACCUGCCCUUAGCUCUGGGAUAAGCCUGGGAAACUGGGUCUAAUACCGGGUAUGACUCCAUAACGCAUGUUGUGGGGUGGAAAGCCUUGUGCGGCUAGGGAUGGGCCCGCGGCCUAUCAGCUUGUUGGUGGGGUGAUGGCCUACCAAGGCGACGACGGGUAGCCGGCCUGAGAGGGCGACCGGCCACACUGGGACUGAGACACGGCCCAGACUCCUACGGGAGGCAGCAGUGGGGAAUCUUGCGCAAUGGGCGAAAGCCUGACGCAGCGACGCCGCGUGGGGAUGACGGCC
This 386-nucleotide ribosomal RNA is filed under the name uncultured bacterium. Its description in RNAcentral is "bacterial SSU rRNA". It matches the Rfam family "Bacterial small subunit ribosomal RNA", at positions 28 to 416 of the family's 1533-position model. The record is from RNAcentral.